CUUUUGGUGAUCAAGCAAAGGAAGGGAAUGCGGCAACAGAAACCCAGCGAACCUGCUACCGAUGACGUAAAAGCUCGAGCAGUGGAGGAAAUGAUGGCCAGGAUCAAGAGCGGGGUUGCCCUGAGACCAGCAAAGAAGGAUGGGGCUGCAUUGUCUCAGGAUCGCGCAACAGCAGCCAGCAAACGCAAGAGCACUGUGAUGGAGCUGCAAGGGAUCCUGGGCACAAUGAAAAGGCCGGUCAGAAAACAGAGCUGGAGUGAACACAGCCAGAAGAUCAACGACAACCAGCUGCAGUCCAUCCUGCAGAGACGGCGCAGGAUGGUGGACUCCUCCACUCCCGCCCAGCCCUCGCCACUGCGGGACGAGCUCAGAAAAGAGGUGCAGAAUCAAGGUGACAGUGGAAUUUCCAAAGCUAUGUCCAGCCCAUGCACCAAGGAGACUGUAGCUGUCGUCCAGUUAAGAGCAAGAUCGGUGCACCUUCAGAAAAGCAGGCAACUGGCUCUCCUGAAUGAAGCAGAGGACAAGCUGGCAUAGAGAGAGACUACCUGAAAACCAGCCAUCCUGUUGCACCACAAGACACUGCAUGGCUGCCUGAUCUCACACCCUGCCAAUGCUCCUUGCAGUACCUGCCCCACCUGUGUAUCUUUCAGGCACGCAAACAUUCAGAUCCUGAGCACAGCCUGAGGAUGCGGUUCUCCAGUCGAGCUUGUUAGCACGAAGUGCAGCCAGAUGCACAGCUUGCUCGCUUACGCAUACUAGCUUGCUCUGCUUGCCUCGGUGGUAGCUGGGAGGUGCGGUCAGGAACCUUAACACUGACAACCUUCAUAUUGUCAAGUAUCAGAGGGUAGCCGUGUUAGUCUGGAUCUGUCAAAGCAGCAAAGAAUCCUGUGGCACCUUAUAGACUAACAGAUGUUUUGGAGCAUGAGCUUUCGUGGGUGAAUACCCACUUCCUCAGAUGNUCAUAUUGUGGUCCUAGAGUGGAUUUGUCAUUGGCCAGUGGAACGUGGUUUUGUUGACAGUGGUUUGUAAAGAUCAUCCAUCCCUCCUCUUUCAAAGGCCAGACAUAAUUUCACAGUCUUCCUGAGGACUGCUGGGCUGCACAUAAAGAAGGCUGCAGCUUUCGAGCCCAUUCUUUUCUAACCGAGCUGCUCUGACAAGAAUAGACCAGCAGAACCCAGUCAGCUGCUGAGCUGAGCAUCAUGGGGGAUCUGAGUGUCCUUCUAAGAAGCCCCACAUUUGACAUUUGAGUUCUGUAUCUUUUAACUAGACAACCUGUUAGAGGAAGGGGCUAAAGAGACAGAAAUUGAAUUUGGAUGGACUAAGCUCAGAUCUCUCGGCAGUUCACACGUUGUGGGGCUUGUCAAGCUGCCUAGGGUGGCUCACGAGCCUGAGUAACCACCUCAGGGCAGACUGUGAAGAAGCAGGGCACAAACCCCAAGCUGGCUGUGAGUUCUGUGUCCACAUUUCACCAACCAAGUAUCACGUCUGAACUCCUAAAGGACUGUGACAGCCUUAACAUGGAGUCGCAGACAGUACCCUUGGGUACUCGGGUCUGUCUUGCCA
Gopherus agassizii (Agassiz's desert tortoise) is the source of this 1563-nucleotide long non-coding RNA. NCBI's taxonomy places the organism in Eukaryota, Metazoa, Chordata, Testudines, Testudinidae. The record is from Ensembl.